This 3056-nucleotide long non-coding RNA is filed under the name Lupinus angustifolius (narrow-leaved blue lupine). RNAcentral's name for it is "long non-coding RNA (LANG_LNC003063)". Lineage: Eukaryota; Viridiplantae; Streptophyta; Magnoliopsida; Fabales; Fabaceae. The record is from RNAcentral.
UCUAUCCCAAUAAAACCUCCCCUUAUCUCCUGCUUCUCUACAACCUAUCUUUCACUCCUAUUCUCUCUAUCUUUCAUCCCGUUUCGACUACCUGACACAACCAGAAAUCGAACUUUAUCUCUACCAGAAAUCGAACCUUAUCUGUAUCAAUUAAGUCUUUUCAUGCAAGUGAAAAUUGAACCUGUCUCUAUCAACAAAGUCUUUUCGAAGCCGAAAUCAAAGCCUAUCACAUAGUCAGGUGGCUCAAAUUUUUAUGACCCAUAGGCAUCAUUACUCCAACAACUAGAUUUACAUGCAUACAUGAUUUACAUGCACAUGCAUAAAUACAUGAUGAUAUGAUUUAGGUGCAUUAAACAAAGUUUAAAUCAUACAUCAUUCAAAAUCAUGCAUCGUACGUUUACAAAUCAUGUAGAAGGUUCAUACCACAUCAAAGUAACUUUUUCAAAAAAACCCUUAAUCAAUUAAGGUUUAGUUAAUCGAUUAAAUUGUGCAAAAUAGAAACCUAUUAAUCGAUUAAGUUAAGGGUUAGUCGAUUAAUGAUAUUUACAAUUUCUGAAAUUUUGAUUUUUAAAGAAUCGUUAAACGAUUAAGUAGAUUGUUAAUUGAUUAACUAUAUCAGAAAAUAGAAUUGUAUUUUAAACCAACUUUUCCCAUUUGCUACAAAUAUUUCGUAACACAAAAUUCAGAUUGAUUUUCACUUCAUAUCAAAAGAUAGAUUUUCCAAAGUGUUUCUGAAAAAAGUAUUCUCAUACACAAAGAAAGAUAAGAGAAUACUUUAUGAAUCUUUAGAGAAGUAUUUCAAGAUUUUCAUAGUCAAAUCAAGUUUACAAAACCUUUCAUCUCACAUCUUAAUUUUGAGUUAUGCGAGACUUAGAAAGGUUUUAGGUCCUGGAAGUGUGUGUAUAUUCAACAUUUUUUAGGUGCAUUUACUCAUUUGUACACAUUGGACACGUUGGUAUUAACAUUUCUCUUUGGUAUGUGGUAUCACCACGAAUAAGAGAAAAGGUUUAGGAAACCCUGGUUAUAAGUGGUGAGGAACCAUCAGAAACUAGGUUCACUGUACAAGAUUCUUGGUAGAGAAGUUAGAAGUGGUGGGGCUCUCCACUUAUUCCUUAUCUCUAUACGUGUUUGCAUUGUUUGAUUUACUAUACUUGGCAUUAUAAUCUUUUUUGUGUUAAUUACAUAACCUGUUUUAUGCCAUUAACUGCAUAAUAUCAUGUAGUAGAUUGCAUACAAGUUUAGUCAAAUCUUUACAUCUUAGUGUAUAAAGAAAACUCAAUUAAGAUAUAUGUUAAUCGAUUAAACAUUGAGGAAAAUCAUAGAAUAUCUUUUUAAUCAAGAAAUAAUAAUCGAGUAACGAACCACCUAUUCAUCCCCUUCUAGGUGAAGUUUAGAGCCCUUAUAUGCUAACACAUACUACAUUGAAAAUUGUUGUAAUUAAAUAAACAAAAAAAUUAUAAAUAAUAUUAUAUCCUCCUAUAAAUUUAAGAUAUGCUCCUAAUUAUAGGUAAGUGAUUUGUGUCCCUUUAAACCCAAAUAAAGCUAACAUUUGUUAGUUCAAGUGACACAAUACUUUUUCUGAUCCAGAACAAAAUUUAAACUAAUUUAUUAAGAGGAUAUUACUUGCCCCAAAAUAUAUAUAUAUAUAUAUAUAAAAGAGCCCAUAUUCUUUUUUACUUUUUAAACUUACUCUUAAGUCUUAAUCAACAAACAACAAAAUUCAUACAUAAAAUAAUGCUGAUGGUAAAUGGGUCCACUGCACUUGCAUAUAAAAUUUUAAAGAAAGCUAAGUAAAGAAAAGACAAUGAAAGGUGGGCAUCGAAGGUAAUCUAAAAGGACUCUACACAUUGAAUCAUCAGCAACUAGUACUUUUUUUAUGAAAAUAUUCACUUAAAUUGGUUGAACCAAGACAUUGUUUGUCUUGGACAGUGACCCCUUUUGGCAUUUAUAAUGAUUAAUGACCAAGACUUGAGACUUGACUCUCUUUUCUUGUCCCUAUCUAUCCCAAUAAAACCUCCCCUUAUCUCCUGCUUCUCUACAACCUAUCUUUCACUCCUAUUCUCUCUAUCUUUCAUCCCGUUUCGACUACCUGACACAACCAGAAAUCGAACUUUAUCUCUACCAGAAAUCGAACCUUAUCUGUAUCAAUUAAGUCUUUUCAUGCAAGUGAAAAUUGAACCUGUCUCUAUCAACAAAGUCUUUUCGAAGCCGAAAUCAAAGCCUAUCACAUAGUCAGGUGGCUCAAAUUUUUAUGACCCAUAGGCAUCAUUACUCCAACAACUAUCCAUUCUCAUGAUUCAUGGUAUUCAUCAAUGUGGUUUAUUUUUUUCAAGCUAUGAGAUUACCAAUUAAGAAGUUUUUAAUAUGAUGGUGAUGUAUCAUAAGGUUGGUGUAGACACCAUAGGUUUUUUAUAAUAAGAUUUGGUGGCUGAGAAAGAGAGUAGUUGAUGCAUGUUAAGGUACAUAUCAAUCAUGGUUUUGGUUCUUCUCACUUUGUCUAUUCUUGUGCUUCCUGUGGUGUUGCCUCCUCUACCACCACCACCUUUGCUGCUUCUACUUGUUCCAGUUUUCAUCUUGGUGCUUCUGUUUUUCUUAGCCUUUUCACCUUCCAAAUUUCCAACCAUGUCUGUCAUUGCUUCUUGAUCUACUAUUAUUAUUGUCGUUGUUGGUGUUAGUCUUUUCUAAAUGCUAUGCAUGUGAGGUUGAGGAAAAAAGAGAGAAGAUAAUAAGGUGUGGAAUCUGACUUUAUGAGUUUUCUAUAUUCCAUAAAUCAAUCAUGCUUGUACUGGUGGUACAUAUGGAAAGGUAUUUUGUUUAGGGUUUUUUUAAUGUUAGUUCUUAGUUCUAAGGAUAAGAAAGUAGAUAACUUGUGUUGGAAAAUGAUGUAUUGAAACAAUCAAAAAAAUUGUGUGUUUAGUUUUCCAAUAAAAAGUAUUCACUUUUGGGUUUUCUUGAGCUUAAUAAAAAAUUUGUCUGUUAAGUUUUCUAAUAAAAAGUAUCUAUUUUUUGGGUUUUCUUAAGCUCAAUCCGUAUGAUUAAUGAUAAGAACCCAAAAG